UCAAAUCUCAUUAAUCUAAACUGUUUAUUUCUAAUAUCAAACAGAUGCUGGAGAUAAUUGAAUCGAAGAGGAGAGAUAAAUGAUGAUUUCACAUAUCAUAUUAAAGUAAGGCGAGUGAAAUGAAGGCUUAUGUUCAAGUUAUUGUGUGAUAAAAAUGUAUAAUUAAUACUAAAUAAUAAAUUUUAUAGAAGUAAUGGUUAGACCUAAUUUGUUAUAUGAGGCAAAGUAUUGGUCAGUAAAAAAUACACUUCAAAAUAUGAAGGUGGCAAAAAUGGGGAUGCUCAAUUGAAUAUGUAAGCAUACUAAGAGAGAUAAAACUAAAAAUGAGAUUAUACAAAAUAAGAUUGAAGUGACCUAUAUGUAGCGGAUGAGAUAAAAAAAGCAAAAACAAAAUGGUUCAUACAUGUGAAAAGGAAAAAUGUAUAUACAUGCUCUAGUAAGGAUGUGGUCAUGUGGAGAGGUGGACUCUACUAGAUUUAAGGAGUAGUGUUUGGAUAUAUAUUAUUAAUCAUAUGGUUAGUUACUGUAUUUA
Molecule: long non-coding RNA, 532 nt
Organism: Solanum pennellii
Lineage: Eukaryota; Viridiplantae; Streptophyta; Magnoliopsida; Solanales; Solanaceae
Exons: 2
Source: RefSeq, a predicted model, not a curated record